Molecule: ribosomal RNA, 407 nt
Filed under: uncultured bacterium
Lineage: Bacteria
Also listed under: 1 other name
Description: bacterial SSU rRNA
Rfam family: Bacterial small subunit ribosomal RNA
Source: RNAcentral
UGGGGAAUAUUGGGCAAUGGGCGCAAGCCUGACCCAGCAACGCCGCGUGAAGGAAGAAGGCUUUCGGGUUGUAAACUUCUUUUGUCAGGGACGAAGCAAGUGACGGUACCUGACGAAUAAGCCACGGCUAACUACGUGCCAGCAGCCGCGGUAAUACGUAGGUGGCAAGCGUUAUCCGGAUUUACUGGGUGUAAAGGGCGUGUAGGCGGGGAAGCAAGUCAGAUGUGAAAACCACGGGCUCAACCUGUGGCCUGCAUUUGAAACUGUUUUUCUUGAGUGCUGGAGAGGCAAUCGGAAUUCCGUGUGUAGCGGUGAAAUGCGUAGAUAUACGGAGGAACACCAGUGGCGAAGGCGGAUUGCUGGACAGUAACUGACGCUGAGGCGCGAAAGCGUGGGGAGCAAACAGG